Molecule: long non-coding RNA, 970 nt
Filed under: Homo sapiens (human)
Lineage: Eukaryota; Metazoa; Chordata; Mammalia; Primates; Hominidae
Description: HSALNT0024813
Source: RNAcentral
CCAGAUAGGAGAACAAAAGCAGGCUGCCCGAGCUAGCAGUGGCAACAUGCUCAGGUCUCUUACCACGCUGUGGAAGCUUUGUUCUUUCGCUCUUUGCAAUGAAUCCUGCUGCUGCUCACUCUUUGGGUCCACACUGCCUUUAUGAGCUGUAACACUCACUGUGAAGGUCCGCAGCUUCCCUCCUGAGCCAGCGAGACCAGGAACCCACCAGAAGGAAGAAACUCAGAACACAUCCCAACAUCAGAAGGAACAAACUCCAGACGCGCCACCUUAAGAGCUGUAACACUCACCGCGAGGGUCUGCGGCUUCAUUCUUCAAGUCAGUGAGACCAAGAACCCACCAAUUCCGGACACACCAAGUCCUGAGUUCAGAAUUUUGUUUUUGAGAUGAACAUAAAAGCACCUAAAGGUCAAGGAAGAUGUUCUUCCUGUGAUAAGGAACACAAAGCCUGUUUGGUGGUCUCUUCACACGGAAGCGCAUGACACUUCGCUUUAGUGUAGAUGACCACUCCCCUCUGUAAGGUGUUUCCUGUGAUCUCUGGGAUCCUGAUCCGCACCACUCAACUUUGGCCUCCUAAACUUCAUCCUUGACCCCACCCCAGGUAGGAAGGAUGUGUGGAUAUUUCUUUUAUCUUUCUGCAACGAUGACCUUUUGGAGAAAAAGAAAGGAAGCAGGACCUCUUGACCAGAAUUUAUCCAGCACUCCAGCACGGCUUGCACGUUAUCUGGAGUAAAGAGACCUUCUGGGAUUUCAUCAGCCUCCUGUCCAUCAAGAGAGCCACAGCUAAGAACCUAGAAGGGUAGAAGCAAAAGAUUUUUUUCCUCCUGUAUAAUCCCAAUCCACUACUUAGGUAGGUGACUUCAAACAAGUUACUUAACCUCUCUCUGCUUCAGUGUUCUCAAAAUUGCAGAAACGAUCUUAUAGGACUGCUGUGAUGGUUAAAUGUGAGAAUUUUGAGGGCACAGAAAAC